This 89-nucleotide transfer RNA is filed under the name Fidelibacterota bacterium. Its description in RNAcentral is "Candidatus Marinimicrobia bacterium tRNA-Ser". It matches the Rfam family "tRNA". Rfam says of the family: Transfer RNA (tRNA) molecules are approximately 80 nucleotides in length. Their secondary structure includes four short double-helical elements and three loops (D, anti-codon, and T loops). Further hydrogen bonds mediate the characteristic L-shaped molecular structure. tRNAs have two regions of fundamental functional importance: the anti-codon, which is responsible for specific mRNA codon recognition, and the 3' end, to which the tRNAs corresponding amino acid is attached (by aminoacyl-tRNA synthetases). tRNAs cope with the degeneracy of the genetic code in two manners: having more than one tRNA (with a specific anti-codon) for a particular amino acid; and 'wobble' base-pairing, i.e. permitting non-standard base-pairing at the 3rd anti-codon position. Lineage: Bacteria; Pseudomonadati; Fidelibacterota. The record is from RNAcentral.
GGAGAGUUGGCAGAGCGGUAAUGCAGCGGAUUGCUAAUCCGUCAUGGUGUAACAACCAUGCACGUGUUCAAAUCACGUACUCUCCGCAA